UACGUAGGCAGCAAGCGUUGUUCGGAAUUACUGGGCGUAAAGAGUGUGUAGGCGGUGCUCUAAGUUUGGUGUGAAAUCUCCCGGCUUAACUGGGAGGGUGCGCCGAAAACUGGAAUGCUCGAGCGUGGGAGAGGAAAGCGGAAUUCCUGGUGUAGCGGUGAAAUGCGUAGAUAUCAGGAGGAACACCAGCGGUGUAGACGGCUUUCUGGACCAUUGCUGACGCUGAGACACGAAAGCGUGGGUAGCAAACAGG
RNAcentral lists this ribosomal RNA (253 nucleotides) under uncultured bacterium. Its description in RNAcentral is "partial 16S ribosomal RNA". It matches the Rfam family "Bacterial small subunit ribosomal RNA", at positions 524 to 776 of the family's 1533-position model. The record is from RNAcentral.